Molecule: long non-coding RNA, 3861 nt
Organism: Triticum aestivum (bread wheat)
Lineage: Eukaryota; Viridiplantae; Streptophyta; Magnoliopsida; Poales; Poaceae
Exons: 11
Source: RefSeq, a predicted model, not a curated record
UUGUGUGUUUGCUCUCUGUUACGGUCUGUGUUGUUGCACAUGGUUCUCGGCGCGUUUCUUGGACGUCCUUGGGCUUCUCUUCUUCCGUUGGUGCUCCUGAUGGGAGGUUGGCUACUGAGGAUAGUACUAAUCCUGGUUUGAGGGCUGAUGAGGCGCGGUGGGGACGCUAGGAACAAGAUAUUCGUCAUGGGAGACAUCCUCUGGAUUCAUUGUUUGGUGGGUAUUUGGCAUGUGUUUUUUGUUAUUGUUGUUUGUCCGCAUUCUUGUUUUAUAUAUCCUUUUGCUUUAAUUUUCUCCAAUAUUUCUUGCUGAUUUAUUGAUUUUUGCGGUUGGAAGGAAUGUUCGGCCUACAUUUGAAGAAUUGGUUGAUCCUUAAGGGUUCGAUUUUUCUUGGUUUUUUUAAAAAAAUUCACCCCUGCUGAUUGAACGACGCAUGUGCACGGUGGCUUCCCAGGAUGUGGUCAAUCUCUUGCUUGGUAUUUUAAGCACAUUUUGUUUACUGUUGGAUGGAGGUUGUGGGCUCUCCUAGAAGGUUCCGAAUUCAGCAGAAUCAGCUUGCAUGUACGUGUUUCUUCUAGAGGUGCAUUAGUAUAGGCUGGUUGUAUGGGCUGAUUUUGUCUCAUGUGAAAAAAACAGUUUGACUGCAUGCAUGCAUGUGGUCAUGUUUGCCUGUUUGGAGUUCCUUCUCUAUUCCAUCGCUGCACACGUUGUGUUCUGGGUUCUUCCGGUGUGUUUCAUUUUAUUUCCUCUCCCCUUUUCCCUUCCUAUAAGUAGUUCUUUGUUCCUUCUCUCCUGUGUACUUGUGUGUGUGCUCUCUGGUAUGGUUCGUGCUGUUGCACAUGCUUCCGGUGUGUUCGUUCAACGUCCUUGGGCUCCUCUUCUUCGGUUGGUGCUUCUGAUGGGGGUUGGCUGCUGCGGGUGCUUCUACUCCUGGUUUGAGGGCUGAUGAGGCGCGAUGACAACAUCCAGGAAUGACAAGAUAUUCGCAGUGGGAAACGUUAUGUAGAUCCAUCGUUUGUUGGAAGGAAUGUUUGGCCUGCGCUAGAAGAAUUGAUUGAUCCUUGUCUUGUUGUUGUUAGAGUUGCAUCUGAUGUGGAAGUUCUGUAUCGUCCAAAUUUCACUACUGGUUGGUUGUCUGGUUCCUCGCGUGGACCGACUCCUUCUGGCUCACGCCCAGUAUGGUGGAUGUGUAGUGGCCGUUGCUGUCGUACGUCCCCGUGAUAAUUUCUUAAUUUUAGGUUCGCGACCAGUAUGGUAGGUGCAUGGUGGCCAUUGCGGUUGCCCCCUGAUCGUGGCUGGUGUGAGGAACUGGUGUAAGAAUUGCUCAUCUCAACUACCAGUACAUAGAAAAUUGCGUAGGCCUCUCAUGAUUUAGUGUACAACAAUUGCCAUUAUAUCAAGAUUUGAGUCAUUGUUGACAGAAGGUUUGGAAGCGAGAUGAUGUUGACCGAUGGGUUAGUUUUGUCAAGCAGAAAACAUUUGUCUCAUUUUUUGUAAUGUUCUGUAGGCUUAUAAUCCUAGACAUGCUGAUUAUGAGGUUUCACUUAAAUAUUAUUUCAGUCUUGCAGCAAGUUUACAUGAUUUUACUCCCUAAAAAAAGGUUACCCAAAUUUUAUCCUACUUGAGUUUUUAGGCUUUUGUUAAUGUCUUGCAGGUCUCAGGUGAAAUUUGCAUGGAGUCUUUCACAGGAGAGCAAACAUUGCCACUGUCGAGGCAAAGUUGCGAAUGUGAUGUGCCUUGACUUCCCAACCUUUUUACUAUUUCUUGCAGAUCCUUAAUUAUUUUGGCAAACAAAUGAGGUUGUGUUAUUUUUAUUUUUGUAUAGACUUAUAGAUCUUACUGGAGGGUUUUUUGGGGGGAAUUAUUCGAGGUUUUUCUCAAAAGCUUAUAUAUGUAUUUCGACCUGGACAAUGGUCUUAUUUUGGUAUUAAUUGAUGCAUGUCUAUUGUGUAUAAUAUAAGCGUUCUGCUUAUUUAUCCUUUUCCGUCUCAUGCUAAUAGCCAAUACAGUUUAGGCAUUGGAGAAAGGAAAUCGACCAUUAGAUGUAGGUUAUAUUAUCACAACAUAUCCAUCGAGUUAUUAUACCAGCUUGGAUCCUCUUAAGUUGCAUAACCUACGCUAACAUGCAUGUCCACAUAAAAAGAGCAUGAGCUCUAACCAGAUUUGAUCGAUUCUAAAAUAGUCCAUUAAGCUGAGAACUUAUUUACUUGAUUUUUCUGUUUGUUGUUGUUGUAAACUAAUAAUAGUGUUUCGCCACUGCUCUAUUCUAAUGAAAGCUGAGAUGCCAUCAUUUUCAGUAUUAGUUUCACAUGAUGCACCCAUUUCUGUCUGUUCCUAUCAGUGAUCAGAAUUUUGAGCUACAAACUGGAUACAAAAUGACACUGAGUUGUAAAAUUGCCCAGUAUUGCUACUACACCUAGAAAGCAAGACAGUUGAUGGUGGCAAGAAGCCAUGAAACAUCAAUGUGCUAUUACUGAAGAAGAUGAUAUCUAUUUGGAUAAGUUUAGAGGGAAUUCUAGGAGGCCGUGGACCUGAGUUUAUCAUAUAUUGGUUCAGAGAUUCUUCACCUGACAAAUUUGCAAUGACUAACGGGCCAGGACUGUAAAUGCAUGAAUCAUCCCUGGAGAAUGGAGAUGAAUGAGGAAGUACUGAGAUUGUGGGAGAUGAAUUCGAACCUGGGUCCUGGUCCAAGAAAGAUGUUACGAAGUGGUACAUCAAAACAAAAGCUAAUACUUCCAUUUAGAUUAUGCAGUUUAGAAGGGAGGACCUUGGCGGGGGUGGAAUCAAGGAGGAGUAUAGCUGCUGGUGGGUUAGGACCUACGAAGCACCAAUACAUGCAAAAUCGAUGUAUCCCCGUCCUGUAUGUCGUCGAUGUGAAAGCCACUGGGGGAGUCGACGUAGAGCGGUCACCGCCGCACACGGAAGCCGUGAGAGGAGUCUUUCGACGGUAUUCCGUACAUUGAUCCCGUCUCGCACAGUUGCUAUUCCUAACAGCUGAUACGGCCGCAAUAUGCGUAUCGCCAGAGUAUCGUGCUUUUUGAUUUUCUUUUUUAAGAAAAAAUGCUGAUGCGUACUGUUCACCAUCCACGACACGGCUAGGAUAUGACCAGCCCAGUACAAGCCCAAUACUAACCAUAACUUCUGCCUGUAGCUCCUUGGUGCAUGGUUUGACUAUGGAUCUUCCUAUUUAUGAUGUUACCUUAGUGAACUUUUGCUUUAUUUGUCUAUGGCCACUGAGAAUUCAGAAUUGAAACUUGUUGGAACAAGGAACUAUAUAUUCAUACGGUAUGCUACAAGCCAACUUGUUUACUGCUUUCCACUUUUCUUGCUUGUCUAUCUCGUAUUAUCAAGUCUAAUAUCAUGUGAUGUAUUUUCUAUUUUGUAUACACCAUGAGGAGUUGAGGACAUGGAUGAUCAUUGAAGACUAGAAAAGAAAAGAGGCAUGGAGGCAAUCAGGCAGACAAUGGGGUGGUAUUUUGAUCUCAUCUCACAUAUUUUUUCAUAAAAUUGUCCUAGCCAACCUGAAUUUCCACCAACCAUUUAGAUAUUGGAGUGCUGUCUCCUGAGCCCCACCAAAACUGGAAAGAACAACAAGAAUUGUUUCUGACCUUGAGUGCUUCCUGCCAUGGUGUGGAAUCUUCUUGUUGUAUAUUUUCUAUAAAACUCUCUCCCAUUGGAUUUGAGAAAUAGACUCAAGCAUAGCCAUCGGCACCCACUCCACUGCAAUCCAGUCGUGACCGAUCAGUUCGUGUCCUGCAUGGCGCUGCACUAGGAGAGUCCAGAAGAGAAACAAGAGGAGAAGCUACUCGGCAUCCGUACAGAUUUUGUAACCUAGCUUAGAAAAGAAGAUAACAUUAGGGA